UGGGGAAUCUUGGACAAUGGGGGCAACCCUGAUCCAGCCAUGCCGCGUGAGUGAUGAAGGCCUUAGGGUCGUAAAGCUCUUUCGCCUGUGAAGAUAAUGACGGUAGCAGGUAAAGAAACCCCGGCUAACUCCGUGCCAGCAGCCGCGGUAAUACGGAGGGGGUUAGCGUUGUUCGGAAUUACUGGGCGUAAAGCGCACGUAGGCGGACCAGAAAGUUGGGGGUGAAAUCCCGGGGGCUCAACCCCGGAACUGCCUCCAAAACUAUUGGUCUAGAGUUCGAGAGAGGUGAGUGGAAUUCCAAGUGUAGAGGUGAAAUUCGUAGAUAUUCGGAGGAACACCAGUGGCGAAGGCGGCUCACUGGCUCGAUACUGACGCUGAGGUGCGAAAGUGUGGGGGAGCAAACAGGAUUAGAUACCCUGGUAGUCCACACCGUAAACGAUGAAUGCCAGUCGUCGGAUAGCAUGCUAUUCGGUGACACACCUAACGGAUUAAGCAUUCCGCCUGGGGAGUACGGUCGCAG
Molecule: ribosomal RNA, 520 nt
Filed under: uncultured bacterium
Lineage: Bacteria
Description: bacterial SSU rRNA
Rfam family: Bacterial small subunit ribosomal RNA
Source: RNAcentral